AUGCGAAGGAGGUCGAGGAGGGCCGAGGUGAAGCACUGGCGUUCUCCUCUGCUCGAAACAGAGCAAGCAGCGACCGAAAAACAAGCUUCAAGCGUCGGGGAGGAGCAGGCAGGGCACCGGCAGGCACGGGACACGGCGGGUCGACGUGGUUCACCGGGACGACGGCAGCAGGCAGCAGACUUGACGCGGAGGCUGAAGAUGGCGGGGUUGAGGAGGAGCGGAGGCGGCCUGCUCCGGGCGGUGGCUUGUGAGGACUAG
This 258-nucleotide ribosomal RNA is filed under the name Triticum aestivum (bread wheat). RNAcentral's name for it is "partial small subunit ribosomal RNA". Lineage: Eukaryota; Viridiplantae; Streptophyta; Magnoliopsida; Poales; Poaceae. The record is from RNAcentral.